Non-coding RNA from Brachypodium distachyon (stiff brome), 125 nucleotides. The record is from Rfam. Lineage: Eukaryota; Viridiplantae; Streptophyta; Magnoliopsida; Poales; Poaceae.
UAGGUACUCCCUCCGUCCCAUAUCAAGUGACUCAAGUUUGUCCAAAUAUGGAUGUAUCUAUACCCAUAAAGCGUCUAGAUACAUGUAAUAUUUUGUCACUUGAUAUGGGACAGAGGGAGUACUUA